RNAcentral lists this ribosomal RNA (300 nucleotides) under Triticum aestivum (bread wheat). Its description in RNAcentral is "partial small subunit ribosomal RNA". Lineage: Eukaryota; Viridiplantae; Streptophyta; Magnoliopsida; Poales; Poaceae. The record is from RNAcentral.
AUGAACAUCGUAACAAAUUCGGAGGGUGAGAUUGAAGUCAACGACACCGACAAUCCAAGCCAGGUUCUCUUCUUCGCGAACCUGGAAUUCGUUCUUGAUUCAUACGGAGAGCUUCACCUUCGUAGCCCAGCACAUUGCCAAACACAGGAGCUGGAGCCGAUUUUCAUCAAUCCACCAACCUCCUACUUCGUCGUCAACAUGGAGUCGCUUCACGACGUCCUCGGGGAGCGUGAUGUGGAGGAAGAGGAAAGUAACAACAGCUGCCCAGAGGCCAUCCCGGUUCGUCCCUGGCCUUGGUAG